Pelobates cultripes (western spadefoot toad) is the source of this 206-nucleotide non-coding RNA. The record is from the annotation of a GenBank genome assembly. NCBI's taxonomy places the organism in Eukaryota, Metazoa, Chordata, Amphibia, Anura, Pelobatidae.
CAUUGACGAAUCUGAACAAGGACCUGACACAGGUGGAGGACUUUGUUGCGCAUUUGACAUUCCUUGGUCAAAUAUCGUCCGAGGUUCCCUCGCUGGAGAAAAGGUACACUACUGUUAUACAGCUCUAUGCUGUUGCCAAAGACUACAAUGUGCCUAUUUCUUCAGAGGAAUUAGCUCUAUUCCAGAGUCUUACUCCAAGCUUUCAA